RNAcentral lists this ribosomal RNA (497 nucleotides) under uncultured bacterium. Its description in RNAcentral is "partial 16S ribosomal RNA". It matches the Rfam family "Bacterial small subunit ribosomal RNA", at positions 28 to 507 of the family's 1533-position model. The record is from RNAcentral.
GAUGAACGCUGGCGGCGUGCCUAAUACAUGCAAGUCGAGCGAUCGGACGAGAAGCUUGCUUCUCUGAUGUUAGCGGCGGACGGGUGAGUAACACGUGGAUAACCUACCUAUAAGACUGGGAUAACUUCGGGAAACCGGAGCUAAUACCGGAUGAUAUUUUGAACCGCAUGGUUCAAAAGUGAAAGACGGUCUUGCUGUCACUUAUAGAUGGAUCCGCGCUGCAUUAGCUAGUUGGUAAGGUAACGGCUUACCAAGGCAACGAUGCAUAGCCGACCUGAGAGGGUGAUCGGCCACACUGGAACUGAGACACGGUCCAGACUCCUACGGGAGGCAGCAGUAGGGAAUCUUCCGCAAUGGGCGAAAGCCUGACGGAGCAACGCCGCGUGAGUGAUGAAGGUUUUCGGAUCGUAAAACUCUGUUAUUAGGGAAGAACAUAUGUGUAAGUAACUGUGCACAUCUUGACGGUACCUAAUCAGAAAGCCACGGCUAACUACGUG